GAUUCUAGCUGCACAGACGUAGAAUUUGUACACAAAUAUGACAAUAUAUGAAGCUCUUACUUUUCAAUUUAUACAACUUACAUCUAGGAAAUGGAGACAAGGAGAUGGAUGUAAACAGAUGGAUCAGACAAUAUGCUUCUGAAUCCUUCAACAGGAAAAAAGACAUGAGGCGUCUUCCACCCACCAGCUUCAAUGUAUCCAUAAAGAUGAAAACGAAUGAAGCUUUCCUUCCAUUCCCAGUAUAUCACUGAUCCUUCAUCAUCACUUGGUCAAAGUCCUAGAAUUCCCUACUUAUCAGCACAGUGGGAAUGCUUUCACCACAUGGAUUGCAGUGGUUCCAAAAGGACAGCUCACCUCAGCCUUCUCAAAGGGAAUUAAGGAUGGACAAUAAGUCCCAACAAAAUCUACAUUAUAUGAAUGAAUAAUUAAAAAUAAUCAUCUGGCAACAUGGUCAUUAGAGUGCCUCCUGCCUCCGUUUAGUAGUUUGAGGGUAUUGUCAUGAUCUGACAUGUCUGUUAGGGGCAGCGUGACAAUGUACUGCCGAGACACAGAAUAUUCAGAAGCUGCAUGACAGCAAAGUAUAACCUCACCAAAUUUCCAAUGUGUAAUUUGUAGAUUUAUGUUAAACUGGGAGCAGCAGAUGUUCUUCUAUCACAAAGUACCUAUGAU
Stegostoma tigrinum is the source of this 669-nucleotide long non-coding RNA. RefSeq lists it as uncharacterized. The record is from RefSeq and is a predicted model, not a curated record. NCBI's taxonomy places the organism in Eukaryota, Metazoa, Chordata, Chondrichthyes, Orectolobiformes, Stegostomatidae. The transcript is spliced from 3 exons.